AGCGAACGCUGGCGGCAGGCCUAACACAUGCAAGUCGAACGGAUCCUUCGGGAUUAGUGGCGGACGGGUGAGGAACACGUGGGAACGUGCCUUUUGGUUCGGAACAACUCAGGGAAACUUGAGCUAAUACCGGAUGUGCCCUUCGGGGGAAAGAUUUAUCGCCAUUAGAGCGGCCCGCGUCUGAUUAGCUAGUUGGUGGGGUAAAGGCUCACCAAGGCUACGAUCAGUAGCUGGUCUGAGAGGAUGAUCAGCCACACUGGGACUGAGACACGGCCCAGACUCCUACGGGAGGCAGCAGUGGGGAAUCUUGCGCAAUGGGCGAAAGCCUGACGCAGCCAUGCCGCGUGAAUGAUGAAGGUCUUAGGAUUGUAAAAUUCUUUCACCGGGGACGAUAAUGACGGUACCCGGAGAAGAAGCCCGGCUAACUUCGUG
RNAcentral lists this ribosomal RNA (432 nucleotides) under uncultured bacterium. RNAcentral's name for it is "bacterial SSU rRNA". It matches the Rfam family "Bacterial small subunit ribosomal RNA", at positions 29 to 507 of the family's 1533-position model. The record is from RNAcentral.